Molecule: ribosomal RNA, 468 nt
Filed under: uncultured bacterium
Lineage: Bacteria
Description: partial 16S ribosomal RNA
Rfam family: Bacterial small subunit ribosomal RNA
Source: RNAcentral
GACGAACGCUGGCGGCGUGCUUAACACAUGCAAGUCGAACGGAAAGGCCCUGCUUUUGUGGGGUGCUCGAGUGGCGAACGGGUGAGUAACACGUGAGUAACCUGCCCUUGACUUUGGGAUAACUUCAGGAAACUGGGGCUAAUACCGGAUAGGAGCUCCUGCUGCAUGGUGGGGGUUGGAAAGUUUCGGCGGUUGGGGAUGGACUCGCGGCUUAUCAGCUUGUUGGUGGGGUAGUGGCUUACCAAGGCUUUGACGGGUAGCCGGCCUGAGAGGGUGACCGGCCACAUUGGGACUGAGAUACGGCCCAGACUCCUACGGGAGGCAGCAGUGGGGAAUAUUGCACAAUGGGCGGAAGCCUGAUGCAGCAACGCCGCGUGCGGGAUGACGGCCUUCGGGUUGUAAACCGCUUUCGCCUGUGACGAAGCGUGAGUGACGGUAAUAGGUAAAGAAGCACCGGCUAACUAUGUG